GGAGGCGCAUGCGGUCCGGUGGCCGUCACGAACUUCAAAUUCGCUGCGUCCGUGUGGCAACACGGAUGGGUGGGUUCGACUCCCACACGCCUUCGUCUCCA
RNAcentral lists this transfer RNA (101 nucleotides) under Chloracidobacterium thermophilum. RNAcentral's name for it is "tRNA-Sec". It matches the Rfam family "Selenocysteine transfer RNA". RNAcentral also lists the same sequence under 2 other names. The record is from RNAcentral. Lineage: Bacteria; Pseudomonadati; Acidobacteriota; Blastocatellia; Chloracidobacteriales; Chloracidobacteriaceae.